AAUUCCUCAGAACUUGAUGCCAAAUUUACAAUUCUUUAAAAUUUGAUGACUGGUUUUGAUUCCUAGUUGAAAUCUUUUUCAAACAACAGAGUUAAAGUUUCAGACUUAGAGAGUACACCAUUUUUUCAGAAACUGGUAACUUAAGUUCUGAUAUGAAAAAGUUCAAGAGCUUCUGAUGUUCUUAACUUUUCCCUGCAGGACCAGUAACAAACUAUUCUUCGAAGUAGUUGUUAGCAGUAACACUAAAAAUAUUUGGGUUCUAAUUCAUGAAUAUAGGUAUAUCAAAAUCAAUUACG
Molecule: long non-coding RNA, 296 nt
Filed under: Lathyrus oleraceus (garden pea)
Lineage: Eukaryota; Viridiplantae; Streptophyta; Magnoliopsida; Fabales; Fabaceae
Description: Pisum sativum (pea) long non-coding RNA (PSAT_LNC025494)
Source: RNAcentral